GUUCCUCCCAAAGCCACGCCCCAAACCCCAAACACACAAACCAAAGCUAUUGUUCCUGAAUGUCAGCACAACAAGGUUUCUUCCGGGUUCUCUGGUUUCCUCCCACCUCCCAAAAACAUGCCGGAGGUUUUACUGGCUUCUAGGUGUGAAUGUUUAUGACGGCCUGCGAUGAAACUGCAUCUCAUCCAGGAUGUAUUCCCACCUCACACCCAGCGUUCCCGGGAUUCAGCUCAACCCUGACCAGGAUAAAGCACUUACUGAAAGGAAGAGAGAGAGUUUCUUUGCAGUGCAGUACCUUUUGGAGAUGGAGAAACUGUACAGAACAACAGCAGUAAAUUAGAGACCGGAUUAGAAGAGACGACUGACACUGGAAUAUCUAAUGCUGGACUUAGAGAAGCUGGUGUGUGCAUUUCUUUUGCUUCUUUGGCUGGAAGCUUCUUUCCACGAGUGAUGGGUUGUUUGUGAACGAGUCUGUUCCUUGAAUCUGUGAUUUUUAAGUGAUGGCUGAGAUCCAACUCACAUAACUCAUAUUACAUACUUCCUUUGUGGAGCAGCAUAAUUUUUUUUUUUAUUAAAGGAAUCCACCACAGUAGGCAUUUUAAUUUAAAAAAGUAUUUAUUCUCUCAGACAUCUGAAUCUUUUUGAGGUGUGUAGAAUUGAGUUAAUGCUUCUUGCUGUUUUAUACAUUUAUUGCUUUGUUUAAUUUUUAUUUGCAUUUUAUUUCAUUGCUCUUGACUUGAUUUUGUUGUACAGCACUUCGGCUGACACAU
Long non-coding RNA from Pangasianodon hypophthalmus (striped catfish), 770 nucleotides. RefSeq lists it as uncharacterized. Lineage: Eukaryota; Metazoa; Chordata; Actinopteri; Siluriformes; Pangasiidae. The transcript is spliced from 3 exons. The record is from RefSeq and is a predicted model, not a curated record.